AUCUUUAAAUUUGUGAACCAUAUUUUUAAUUUCCAGAAAAUUUGUUUGUGGUUAUUUUUACAUUGCUCACUUUUCAUAGCACUCUGUUCUUGUUUCAUGGAUGCAAUAUUUUCUAAAAUCUCUCUGAUACAAUGAUUGAUGAGGUAUCAUUCUUUUAACUACAUUCUCUUAUGUUCUUGAAUUAACUGUUUCCUCCAGGAUACAUUUCUGUCUUUCACUUUUAAAAAUAGGGGUUGUUUUCUUUCAUACCAAAGUUUCUUUAUUUUUGGUAAGCCUUGGCUGUCCUUUUGUAUUUAAGAAUGAGGGACUGUGAAGGCUGACCAGAAACUCUGAGAAUCUGAAUAUGUACUGUUGACCUUCGAACUGCCCUUCAGCAUGAGUGCAUAAAAAACCAACUAAUGCCCAUGAGCCAGCAGCCUGCUGUAUUGCCUUUUGAUCUUGGGAUUCAUCAGCCUCCACAGCCUGUGAGUCAGCUGCCUGCUAUCAGCCCUGCCGAUUUGGGGUUUGUCAGCCCCUGUAGCUCUAUGAGUCAGGAAAAGCCUCUGUCCUGAUGCCUGACCCACAGACUUGGGACUUGCCAGCCUCUACAACCAUAGAACCCAGUCUAAGACAGAGAGUGAAAAGACCUGCUUUUUAUUUUGAAAAGAUUACUCCAGCUCCUGAGUGGUGUGUAGACAGGUGGGUCAGUGAAGAGUCUGUUGGAAUGGUCCUGGUGAGGCAGGAUGAGUUUUGGAACAGGAGACAGUGAGAAGAUGCUGAGAAUUGGUCAGAACCAGCCCUGCUGACACCUUGAUUUUAGCCUACUGAGGCUGAUUUCAGACUUCUGAUCUCCAGAACUAUAAUAAGUUUAUAUUGUUUUAAGCCACUAAGUUUGUGCUCAUUCUUUUUUUACCCCUACCCUCUCUUCCCUCCCUAGUAACUACCAAAGAUUUUUUCUUUCUGUGUGUAAACCUUUUCAUGAGUUUUUAUAAUAGUGGUCUCAUAUACUAUUUGUCCUUUUGUGAUUGAUUUAUUUCACUCAGCAUAAUGCCUUCCAGAUUCAUCCAUGUUGUGAGAUGUUUCCCAGACUUAUCAUUAUUCUUUAUUGUUGUAUAUUAUUCCAUUGUGUGUAUGUACCAUAGUUUGUUUAUCCAUUCAUCUGUUAAUAUGGACACUUAGGUUGUUUCCAUCUUUUUGCUAUUGUGAAUAACACUGCAAUGAACAUGGGUGUGCAUAUGUCUAUUUGUGUGACAGCUCUUAUUUCUCUAGGAUAUACUUCUAGGAGUGCGGUUGCUGGGUUGUAUGAUAUUUCUAUUUCUAGCUUUUCAAGAGAGCAUCAUAUUUUCCAAAAUGAUUGUACCAUUUUACAUUCCCACCAUGUGCUCAUUUCUUUUUUUUUAAUCAUUACUCAGUCAUUUUUUUUUAAUUGUGCUUUACAGUUCAAAUUAAUUUCUCUUACAAAAAUUUAUACACACAUUAUCAUGUAACCCUAGUUGCUUUCCCUAUAAUGUGACAGCACGCUCCCCCUUUCCACCACAGAUUUCCCAUGUCCAUUUGACCGGUUCCUGUCCAUUUCUGCCUUCUCAUCUCCCCUCCGGACAGGAGAUGCCCAUUUAGUCUCAUGUAUUUACUUAAACGAAGAAGCACACUCUUCACGAGUAUCAUUUUAUGUCUUAUAGUCCAGUCACAUCUUUAUCUGAAGAGUUGGCUUUAGGCAUAGUUUUAGUUUUGUGCUAACAGAGAGUCUGGGAUGUGCUUAUUUCUUAUAGCAGCAAUAGGAAACCAGUAUA
Molecule: long non-coding RNA, 1769 nt
Organism: Loxodonta africana (African savanna elephant)
Lineage: Eukaryota; Metazoa; Chordata; Mammalia; Proboscidea; Elephantidae
Exons: 3
Source: RefSeq, a predicted model, not a curated record